UACGUAGGGUGCAAGCGUUAAGUCGGAAUUACUGGGCGUAAAGCGUGCGUAGGCGGUUUGUUAAGUCUGUCGUGAAAGCCCUGGGCUCAACCUGGGGAAUUGCGAUGGAUACUGGCAGCUAGAGUACGGUAGAGGAUGGUGGAAUUCCCGGUGUAGCGUGAAAUGCGUAGAGAUCGGGAAGGAACACCCGUGGCGAAGGCGGCCAUCUGGACCAGUACUGAACGGCUGAGGCACGGAAAGCGUGGGGAGCAAACAGGG
Molecule: ribosomal RNA, 258 nt
Filed under: uncultured bacterium
Lineage: Bacteria
Description: partial 16S ribosomal RNA
Rfam family: Bacterial small subunit ribosomal RNA
Source: RNAcentral